Molecule: ribosomal RNA, 441 nt
Filed under: uncultured bacterium
Lineage: Bacteria
Description: bacterial SSU rRNA
Rfam family: Bacterial small subunit ribosomal RNA
Source: RNAcentral
AACGCGAAGAACCUUACCAAGGCUUGACAUACGCCGGAAAGCAUCAGAGAUGGUGCCCCCCUUGUGGUCGGUGUACAGGUGGUGCAUGGCUGUCGUCAGCUCGUGUCGUGAGAUGUUGGGUUAAGUCCCGCAACGAGCGCAACCCUUGUUCUGUGUUGCCAGCAUGCCCUUCGGGGUGAUGGGGACUCACAGGAGACUGCCGGGGUCAACUCGGAGGAAGGUGGGGACGACGUCAAGUCAUCAUGCCCCUUAUGUCUUGGGCUGCACACGUGCUACAAUGGCCGGUACAAUGAGCUGCGAUGCCGUGAGGCGGAGCGAAUCUCAAAAAGCCGGUCUCAGUUCGGAUUGGGGUCUGCAACUCGACCCCAUGAAGUCGGAGUUGCUAGUAAUCGCAGAUCAGCAUUGCUGCGGUGAAUACGUUCCCGGGCCUUGUACACACCG